RNAcentral lists this ribosomal RNA (460 nucleotides) under uncultured bacterium. RNAcentral's name for it is "partial 16S ribosomal RNA". It matches the Rfam family "Bacterial small subunit ribosomal RNA", at positions 338 to 795 of the family's 1533-position model. The record is from RNAcentral.
CCUACGGGUGGCAGCAGUGAGGAAUAUUGGUCAAUGGACGAGAGUCUGAACCAGCCAAGUAGCGUGAAGGAUGAAUGCCCUAUGGGUUGUAAACUUCUUUUAUAAAGGAAUAAAACGAGGCAAGUGUGCCUUUUUGAUUGUACUUUAUGCUUAAGGAUCGGGUAACUCCGGGACAGCGGCCCCGGUCAUACGGAGGAUCCGGUCGUUAUCCGGAUUUAUUGGGUUUAAAGGGAAGGUAGAUGGGUUGUUAAGUCAGUUGUUAAAGUUUGGGACUUAACCGUAAAAGUGCAAUUGAUACUGGCAGACUUGAGUACAGAUGAGGUAAGCGGAAUGCGUGGUGUAGCGGUGAAAUGCUUAGAUAUCACGAAGAACCCCGAUUGCGAAGGCAGCUUACUAAACUGUGACUGACAUUGAUGCUCGAAAGUGUGGGUAUCAAACAGGAUUAGAUACCCUAGUAGUC